RNAcentral lists this long non-coding RNA (644 nucleotides) under Fukomys damarensis (Damara mole-rat). RNAcentral's name for it is "lncRNA (ENSFDAG00000030578.1)". Lineage: Eukaryota; Metazoa; Chordata; Mammalia; Rodentia; Bathyergidae. The record is from RNAcentral.
UGGAGACAAAAUCCUUUCAGUGUUGUGCUAUAAAUAUGUUCAUUUGUUUCCUUAGUCACUGAGAUGCCAUCAGAAAAAUCACUCAAGGCAUGUGUGCAUAUGUGACUAUGUUUGGGGGCAUGGACAAAGGUGAAGGAGAAGAGAAGGAAGAGGAGGAGGAGGAGCCCAGCUCCAACCUGGUGGUCCCUGUUUCAGAGGAAGGCAAGUCCUCCAGCAAACCGCCGUGCUCUUUGAGAAGAGUGAUCCUCUUCUAUGCAUGUGCUCCCAGCCCUCACAUCUGGAACUUCCAGUUUGAUAUUAGAAUUAGGACAUUCUUGCCUUGGGUGAGUGAUAGAAAUAAGAGACUGGGCAGGAGCAAUAGGGCUCAGUCACUAUAUUUCACAAGCAGACACAAUUUAUUUCAGGGAAUGCACAUAUUUCAGUGGUACAGGAUUCUAUUUCACAAGCGGGAGUUAUGGACAUCACCCUGACAUGGCUGGCAACAUACGCAGGGUGUGCUUGGGAGAAGCUCUGGGGUAGAAGAGGUAGAAUUCUCGGACAUCCCAAAACUUUGCAGGGCAUGUGGUUAAGGCGCGCCAUUGAUGAAGUAAUCUGGAAGAUUGAUGUGUGAGUGGUCGGUGGUGGAUACAGUUUUGAUCAGUGAG